AUUCGGAUGAACCGCCUGCUCUCCCUCUGAGCAGUUUCAAAAAAAAAAAGCCCUCUCCCUAUGCAAUUCAAGAGCCCCGCCUCUCCGUCUCUUCUCGGCUUCGUACGACAACGAGAAGGAGGCCUGCUCGCUCUCUCUCUGAUUUCCGAAACCCCUCUCUUCUGUUCGCCCCUCUAGCACGUCCCCUAUUCAUUCACACAUACAAAACCGUACUCCUCCUCCCGUGACCUCACACGUACAGCCCGCCUCUCUUAAUUCACAAGAAGUCAAGGCAAGAGCACUCGCAUCUCUGGCUCUCUGUCUGAAUGAACCCCAACCCCAUUUCACACAGCCUCUUGCUCUCUCGCACACUCAGUCCUCUCUCAGUUUAGAAGAAGCACAGAUGAGAACCCUCUCUCUCCGUCGCUCUCGUGAAACCGAGUUCAAGGAAAACCGAUCGAAACCUUAAGGAAUCAUUCCGUUCUGCCUUUACUGUGCUCAGCAUCUUCGACAUCGAUCACUAGCUCUAGCCGAAGGGAGAGUUCGCCGAGUCUAUUCGUCACCUGCCCUAGUUCAUUCUGCCCCAAGGAGCCCGAUUUGAUUUCCCUUGUUCUAAUCGUCCACAAUCUUCAUAAUUCUCCGUAUAUUUUCUACUUCCUCGUCUUCUUUCUUUUCAAUUUAGUAAAUUUUGUUGAUAGAAAUGAGUUAGGAGAGGUUAUUGCUAUCAUUUUUGGAAGGAAAAGAAAGUAUGCAGAGUUGAAAAUAGAGAAGUGUUAAUUUGUCUUGCUUUCUCUUAUUGCAAAGAGAAUGAUUUUCUUAUGCUUGUUUAACCGGAUUUUGCUGGGCACUUCAA
Dendrobium catenatum is the source of this 832-nucleotide long non-coding RNA. RefSeq lists it as uncharacterized. The transcript is spliced from 2 exons. The record is from RefSeq and is a predicted model, not a curated record. NCBI's taxonomy places the organism in Eukaryota, Viridiplantae, Streptophyta, Magnoliopsida, Asparagales, Orchidaceae.